AUCUGGCUGAUGAGUCCCAAAUAGGACGGAACGCGCGUCUUGUAU
Molecule: non-coding RNA, 45 nt
Filed under: Schistosoma mansoni
Lineage: Eukaryota; Metazoa; Platyhelminthes; Trematoda; Strigeidida; Schistosomatidae
Source: RNAcentral